RNAcentral lists this ribosomal RNA (379 nucleotides) under Escherichia coli. RNAcentral describes it as "partial 23S ribosomal RNA". It matches the Rfam family "Bacterial large subunit ribosomal RNA", at positions 1510 to 1869 of the family's 2925-position model. Lineage: Bacteria; Pseudomonadati; Pseudomonadota; Gammaproteobacteria; Enterobacterales; Enterobacteriaceae. The record is from RNAcentral.
GUUUAAGCGUGUAGGCUGGUUUUCCAGGCAAAUCCGGAAAAUCAAGGCUGAGGCGUGAUGACGAGGCACUACGGUGCUGAAGCAACAAAUGCCCUGCUUCCAGGAAAAGCCUCUAAGCAUCAGGUAACAUCAAAUCGUACCCCAAACCGACACAGGUGGUCAGGUAGAGAAUACCAAGGCGCUUGAGAGAACUCGGGUGAAGGAACUAGGCAAAAUGGUGCCGUAACUUCGGGAGAAGGCACGCUGAUAUGUAGGUGAAGUCCCUCGCGGAUGGAGCUGAAAUCAGUCGAAGAUACCAGCUGGCUGCAACUGUUUAUUAAAAACACAGCACUGUGCAAACACGAAAGUGGACGUAUACGGUGUGACGCCUGCCCGGUGC